GGCCUCGUAGCUCAAUUGGCUAGAGCCUAAGCUGUACUAAAGCCUUCCCCUUGCUGGCUUGGGUUCGAAUCCCACCGAAGCCA
This 83-nucleotide transfer RNA is filed under the name Schistocephalus solidus. It matches the Rfam family "tRNA". From Rfam's summary of the family: Transfer RNA (tRNA) molecules are approximately 80 nucleotides in length. Their secondary structure includes four short double-helical elements and three loops (D, anti-codon, and T loops). The record is from Rfam by way of RNAcentral. Lineage: Eukaryota; Metazoa; Platyhelminthes; Cestoda; Diphyllobothriidea; Diphyllobothriidae.